GAUCCUGGCUCAGGAUGAACGCUGGCGGCGUGCCUAAUACAUGCAAGUAGAACGCUGAAGGAAGGAGCUUGCUCUUUCCGGAUGAGUUGCGAACGGGUGAGUAACGCGUAGGUAACCUGCCUGGUAGCGGGGGGAUAACUAUUGGAAACGAUAGCUAAUACCGCAUAACAGUAGAUAUUGCAUGAUAUUUUGCUUGAAAGGGGCAAUUGCUCCCACUACCCAGAUGGACCUGCGUUG
This 237-nucleotide ribosomal RNA is filed under the name uncultured bacterium. RNAcentral describes it as "partial 16S ribosomal RNA". It matches the Rfam family "Bacterial small subunit ribosomal RNA", at positions 15 to 238 of the family's 1533-position model. The record is from RNAcentral.